Molecule: ribosomal RNA, 243 nt
Filed under: uncultured Actinomycetales bacterium
Lineage: Bacteria; Bacillati; Actinomycetota; Actinomycetes; Actinomycetales
Description: partial 16S ribosomal RNA
Rfam family: Bacterial small subunit ribosomal RNA
Source: RNAcentral
UACUCGAGUGGCGAACGGGUGAGUAACACGUGGGUGAUCUCCCCUGCACUCUGGGAUAAGCCUGGGAAACUGGGUCUAAUACCGGAUAGGACCAUGCUUUAGUGUGUGUGGUGGAAAGUUUUUUCGGUGUAGGAUGAGCCCGCGGCCUAUCAGCUUGUUGGUGGGGUAAUGGCCUACCAAGGCGGCGACGGGUAGCCGGACUGAGAGGUUGGUCGGCCACAUUGGGACUGAGAUACGGCCCAG